GAGUGUGGAGAAUAUAUCAUACUGGCGAAAUGGGACGCAGUCCCUGAUCGAGGAAAGGAAGCAAAGAAGCAGAAGGAUGCGGAAUAUGAAGGGGCUGGGGAUAGAGCCAAUAACCAAAAGAUGCUUACGUUGGAUUUGUUCAGAGCGGUGAACAGAUCAUUUCAAAGUCGAUCACUUGUUCGAUAUGAACACUGACAGUGUUGUUAUUUAUCAUUGAUUGUGCUUGUAACUGGGCCUGUAGGUGGCACGGUCUAGCAUCCCACAUUCUAAAAUCCUAGUGCUAUUAACAACAAUGCUGCAAAUACACAAGAAGAAACAUUUCUAAUCAACUACUGCAAACACUAGAACAAAAGUAGUGGUAAAAAUGGAUGGUGAAACUUCACCGUUUCACCGCCAUUAUUAGUCUGCAUGUUCCCUCCAACACAGUAGCAUCAACACACACCUUUUGAUAAUGUACAACCUUGCUUUCUUCUCCUUCAACAUUCUCUUCGAUGCCUGAACCUUGGUUUUCUUCUCCGGGUUAUAAGGAAGGGGGAAAAGGAGAGGAAUCUUUUACGUUGUGUGAGUUACUAUUGGCUGACAUCAGUUUCAGUUGGAAAGUCAGUAAAUUAUGUCGUGGGGCGGUAAACAAGGCCCUGAGAGAGUCCACCAGUCAACCGGGGUGGUGCUGCUUUUCUGUUCCGGAAGGCUGUCUCUGCUUCCGCCUGGUCCAAUAUCCAGAUUUCCAGGUGCGUUUAUAGUGAGACCUAGAGACCCAACUCAGUACCUUUUCAUGGAGAGCAACUUACAUGGACUGGGACGUCUUGUGGCAGUGAACCUAUUACAGGUAAGUCCUCUUUUCAUGGGUUUGGAAGACUAUUUACCCUUGGUAAACUGCUUGGUCAGUUUGGUUUCAAUAUUUUAAAAGUAAAAAACCAACCGAAGCGGUCCUGAACCGGUUGAGAACUCCGUGAAUUGGUGAUGAACUGGUUUGAAUACUCCAACGAGCGGUCCAUAUUUUCGAUGAACUGGAUGUGUAGGUGGUGAGGGAGGAUUAGUGCUCGUUUGGAUGUGUUUUUAAAAUGACUGAAAGUACUUUUGGUGAAAUUGAUUUUUGAACCAAUCCUUAGUAAAAAUGCAAGUAAAUUCUGAAAAAAGCAUUUAAAGUGCUUCAUGAAAGAAGCACUAGUUCCUGAAAGAAGCACAUAACUAGUGCUUCUUGCAGAAAGCAUUUUAAGUGCUUUUGGAACCAAAAAAUAUUUUCUUUAAAAGCGUUUUCAGUCAUUUUAAAAUCACAUCCAAACAAGUCCUAAGAUAAAUAGGCAGGUGAGGGUUAUUAUUGGGCUCAAAUGAAUGGGCCGAUAUUGGGUUUGAAAUGGGUCCACUAAAAGUGUUGAGAUCCAAAAAGUAGUAACACGAAGCCUAAACAAAACCCUCAUCGCUGCGUGUAAUUACGCACAUACCCCCAGGCGACAACCUCAGCACCUCCGCCUCUUUGUUCUUCUCCGCAGACGAUAUAGAAAGAGUCCGUAGUUAUUGUUUUUUAGUUAAUUAUUAUUAUUUAUUUUAUUUUUUGGAAUUGCAUUUUUGAGUGGAUUAUUUGGGUGAGCUCCCUCCGAUGAUGAAUUUGUUGCUCGUUAAUAUAAAAAUAUCGUUCCAAUUUCUGAAGCUGUAAGAAUCGCAGCUUCCUUCCGUGUGGAACUCAAGGGAUAUCUGAGGGAG
Malus domestica (apple) is the source of this 1701-nucleotide non-coding RNA. Lineage: Eukaryota; Viridiplantae; Streptophyta; Magnoliopsida; Rosales; Rosaceae. The record is from RefSeq and is a predicted model, not a curated record.